GACGAACGCUGGCGGCGUGCCUAAUACAUACAAGUCGAACGAAGCCUUCGGGCUUAGUGGCGAACGGGUGAGUAACACGUUGGUACCUACCCUCUAGUGGGGAAUAACUGGCCGAAAGGUCGGCUAAUACCGCAUAAUACCGCAAGGUUAAAGCAGCAAUGCGCUAGAGGAGGGGCCUGCGUCCCAUUAGCUUGUUGGUAGUGUAAUGGACUACCAAGGCGACGAUGGGUAGCUGGAUCGAGAGGUUGACCAGCCACACUGGGACUGAGAUACGGCCCAGACUCCUACGGGAGGCAGCAGUAAGGAAUCUUCCACAAUGGACGAAAGUCUGAUGGAGCAACGCCGCGUGCAGGAUGACGGCCUUCGGGUUGUAAACUGCUUUUAUAUGGGAAGAUUAUGACGGUACCAUAUGAAUAAGGACCGGCUAACUACGUGCCAGCAGCCGCAGUAA
This 451-nucleotide ribosomal RNA is filed under the name uncultured bacterium. Its description in RNAcentral is "partial 16S ribosomal RNA". It matches the Rfam family "Bacterial small subunit ribosomal RNA", at positions 28 to 523 of the family's 1533-position model. The record is from RNAcentral.